CUGGGGGGCAUGGACAGGCACACACGGCUCUGGAGGUACCUGGUGGGCAGCCUGGCCUCCGGCGGCCGGUGCCACCUUCCUUUGCUUCCUGUACCCCCUGGAUUUCGCCAGACCUGCCUGGCAGCCGAUGUCGGGAAGUUGGGCACAGAGCUGAGUUCUGAGGCCUGGGACACUGCCUGGUGAAGGUCACCAAGUCCGACGGGCUCCAGGGCCUCCAGGGCUUCAGCAUCUCCAUGCAGGACACCAUCACCUACCGGCCGCCGACCCCAGCAUGAAGAAUUCAGCCAAGGGCGAGCUCCCGGAUGCCAAGAGCCCGUGGUGGGAGAUGGACGACCACCGUGGCUGCAGCUCCCACCCCUUCCACGCGGUGUGGCAGACGAUGGUGCAGCCUGGGCUCAGAGCAGCUCACAUCACGUACACGGCACCCUCGGCUGUUGGGGAAAGACCGUUAAAGAUGAGGAGACAAGGCCUUCUUCCAGGGCGCUGGGCCGGCGUCCUCAGGCCUGGGGGCCCCUCUCGCUGGUCCUGUGUGAGGAGCUGAAAGGUCAUCUAA
Molecule: long non-coding RNA, 553 nt
Filed under: Homo sapiens (human)
Lineage: Eukaryota; Metazoa; Chordata; Mammalia; Primates; Hominidae
Description: non-protein coding lnc-ADNP2-2:3
Source: RNAcentral